CAUUCCAACUAUCCUUUCUUGCUUGAAUCCAGCAGGGUAAUGACUGACCCAACUGCUGCACAUAUCAAGUACUGCUACUCCUGGAGUGUUACUGGAAGGCAAGACCUCUGAGUAAUACUUGGUAAGUGCAGCAAUAGCUUGAUCAUCAAUAUGUGUCACGAAACGCGGCAUUUCAUAGAAUAAUGUAUCUGAUGAUUCAUCAAACCGCUGGAAAUCUUCAUCCUUGAAAGGAAAUUGUUCUGGCCAUUCAACAUUCUUCAAAACCUGUUCAAUUGCACCCUUCUGUCUUGCAGAAGCCACAAAGGAUUUAGCACCGAUAUUGUCAGCCAUACUCAUGAACUGAGACCACAACGAUAUCCCAAUCCCCAAGACAAGUCUACGAUGAAUAUUUCUGCACCGAAUUGCUCUCCUCUUACCAACACUUAUUGAAUUUUGAGCCUUUGAACAACAUUGAACUGGGGCUGAAAAUGGAUAAAUGCCCGCCAAUUUUGGCAGCAGACUCUGUAACUUCACACCAAAACCUUUAGCCAUUUUUGGGUUAUGAUGUUUUUAUCUAGAACAAAUUUUUUUUUGAAUGUUGAUUGGAUUGAUUUU
Molecule: unclassified non-coding RNA, 594 nt
Filed under: Hevea brasiliensis (rubber tree)
Lineage: Eukaryota; Viridiplantae; Streptophyta; Magnoliopsida; Malpighiales; Euphorbiaceae
Source: RNAcentral